RNAcentral lists this ribosomal RNA (253 nucleotides) under uncultured bacterium. RNAcentral's name for it is "partial 16S ribosomal RNA". It matches the Rfam family "Bacterial small subunit ribosomal RNA", at positions 524 to 776 of the family's 1533-position model. The record is from RNAcentral.
UACGGAGGGUGCAAGCGUUGUCCGGAUUUAUUGGGUUUAAAGGGUGCGUAGGCGGCCCGUUAAGUCAGUGGUGAAAGCCUCCAGCUCAACUGGAGAACUGCCAUUGAUACUGACGGGCUUGAGUACAGACAAGGUUGGCGGAAUUGAUUGUGUAGCGGUGAAAUGCAUAGAUACAAUCAAGAACACCGAUUGCGUAGGCAGCUAACUAGGCUGUAACUGACGCUGAGGCACGAAAGCGUGGGGAGCGAACAGG